Molecule: ribosomal RNA, 274 nt
Filed under: uncultured bacterium
Lineage: Bacteria
Description: partial 16S ribosomal RNA
Rfam family: Bacterial small subunit ribosomal RNA
Source: RNAcentral
AUACGGAGGGUGCGAGCGUUAAUCGGAAUUACUGGGCGUAAAGCGUACGUAGGCGGUUGGUUAAGUUAGAUGUGAAAGCCCCGGGCUUAACCUGGGAACUGCAUUUAAAACUGGCGAACUAGAGUUGAGUAGAGGGGAGUGGAAUUUCAGGUGUAGCGGUGAAAUGCGUAGAGAUCUGAAGGAACACCAGUGGCGAAGGCGACUCCCUGGAUUCGAACUGACGCUGAGGUACGAAAGCGUGGGUAGCAAACGGGAUUAGAUACCCUAGUAGUCC